This 158-nucleotide ribosomal RNA is filed under the name Hypericum ascyron. Its description in RNAcentral is "5.8S ribosomal RNA". It matches the Rfam family "5.8S ribosomal RNA". Rfam says of the family: 5.8S ribosomal RNA (5.8S rRNA) is a component of the large subunit of the eukaryotic ribosome. It is transcribed by RNA polymerase I as part of the 45S precursor that also contains 18S and 28S rRNA. Functionally, it is thought that 5.8S rRNA may be involved in ribosome translocation. RNAcentral also lists the same sequence under 9 other names. Lineage: Eukaryota; Viridiplantae; Streptophyta; Magnoliopsida; Malpighiales; Hypericaceae. The record is from RNAcentral.
CUAAAACGACUCUCGGCAACGGAUAUCUAGGCUCUUGCAUCGAUGAAGAACGUAGCGAAAUGCGAUACUUGGUGUGAAUUGCAGAAUCCCGUGAACCAUCGAGUCUUUGAACGCAAGUUGCGCCCGAAGCCUUCUGGCCGAGGGCACGUCUGCCUGGG